UACGUAGGGGGCGAGCGUUAUCCGGAUUUACUGGGCGUAAAGAGCGCGUAGGCGGUUCCUUAAGUUGGUUGUGAAAGUUCGUGGCUCAACCACGAAAUUGCGUCCAAUACUGAGGGACUAGAGUGCAGCAGAGGAAAGUGGAAUUCCCGGUGUAGUAGUGAAAUGCGUAGAUAUCGGGAGGAACACCAGUGGCGAAGGCGGCUUUCUGGGCUGUAACUGACGCUGAGGCGCGAAAGCUAGGGGAGCGAACGGG
RNAcentral lists this ribosomal RNA (253 nucleotides) under uncultured bacterium. Its description in RNAcentral is "partial 16S ribosomal RNA". It matches the Rfam family "Bacterial small subunit ribosomal RNA", at positions 524 to 776 of the family's 1533-position model. The record is from RNAcentral.